AUUGAACGCUGGCGGAAUGCUUUACACAUGCAAGUCGAACGGCAGCACGGGGGCAACCCUGGUGGCGAGUGGCGAACGGGUGAGUAAUACAUCGGAACGUGCCCGGUCGUGGGGGAUAACGUAGCGAAAGUUACGCUAAUACCGCAUACGAUCUGAGGAUGAAAGCGGGGGACCUUCGGGCCUCGCGCGAUCGGAGCGGCCGAUGUCAGAUUAGGUAGUUGGUGGGGUAAAGGCCUACCAAGCCGACGAUCUGUAGCUGGUCUGAGAGGACGACCAGCCACACUGGAACUGAGACACGGCCCAGACUCCUACGGGAGGCAGCAGUGGGGAAUUUUGGACAAUGGGCGCAAGCCUGAUCCAGCCAUGCCGCGUGCAGGACGAAGGCCUUCGGGUUGUAAACUGCUUUUGUAUGGAACGAAAAGGCUCUGGCUAAUACCUGGGGCUCAUGACGGUACCGUAAGAAUAAGCACCGGCUAACUACGUG
Molecule: ribosomal RNA, 484 nt
Filed under: uncultured bacterium
Lineage: Bacteria
Description: partial 16S ribosomal RNA
Rfam family: Bacterial small subunit ribosomal RNA
Source: RNAcentral